AUUGAACGCUGGCGGAAUGCUUUACACAUGCAAGUCGAGCGGCAGCGCGGGGCAACCUGGCGGCGAGCGGCGAACGGGUGAGUAAUACAUCGGAACGUGCCCAGACGUGGGGGGAUAACUACUCGAAAGAGUGGCUAAUACCGCAUACGAUCUGAGGAUGAAAGCGGGGGAUCGCAAGACCUCGCGCGUCUGGAGCGGCCGAUGGCAGAUUAGGUAGUUGGUGAGGUAAAGGCUUACCAAGCCUGCGAUCUGUAGCUGGUCUGAGAGGAUGAUCAGCCACACUGGGACUGAGACACGGCCCAGACUCCUACGGGAGGCAGCAGUGGGGAAUUUUGGACAAUGGGCGAAAGCCUGAUCCAGCCAUUCCGCGUGCAGGAUGAAGGCCCUCGGGUUGUAAACUGCUUUUGUACAGAACGAAAAGCUCUGGCUAAUACCUGGAGUCCAUGACGGUACUGUAAGAAUAAGCACCGGCUAACUACG
RNAcentral lists this ribosomal RNA (480 nucleotides) under uncultured bacterium. Its description in RNAcentral is "bacterial SSU rRNA". It matches the Rfam family "Bacterial small subunit ribosomal RNA", at positions 30 to 505 of the family's 1533-position model. The record is from RNAcentral.